UAAAAAAAGAUGCCUGAGGGGCUGUUUAAAGGGAGGGGUCACUUUGCAAAAUACAGUCGGGUUUUAGUUUUGAGAGACUAAUUUGAGAACUGAGGGCAGUGGAACAAUGCAGAUGGGGUGUUUGCACGAGGGCGCUGUGGAAGUAGAGCGCUGAAGGCCGCACCAACUUGGUGUAAAGACAGCUGUCCAUGGUCAGAGGGAAAGGGCAGCUUUGAGGAAGUGCCCACAUUGGCGCUCAGAAUCGACUGUAUUGGCAAAAGAGGGGGUUCAUUGGGUGGAGAAAGGAUCACCUUAGCAAGAGAAAAUAGAGAAUGUCACAGAGAGGCCCAGGCUCCCCGGAAUGUGUUGAACUAAAGGUUGGGACCACGGGGGUCCACAACACCCACGAUUCCAAGUGAGGCUGAACCAGAACAAUGCUAUUUUGUGCUGUUAUUGCGACCUUCCUGUUCCCACCCUCAGAUGUGUGACUGGGAGGAAGCAGAGAGUGACCCAAAUGGACAGAUCGGAGAAAUUGUUAGAGAAUAAAAACCCCAGAGGGAGAACGGAAUGGUGCCCUGGAUUACAACAGUUGCUGUGACGUGAAGAAGCCACCAGGGGGCAGUGCCUCCCUAGCCUUCUCUGUUCGAAUGGGCACAAUCCCGAGGAAGUCGGAGGAAGAAAGGAAACAUAGCCACAAGGCUAGGCCCUUGAUCCUGGGCAGUUUUCUUUCUUCUUCGGCAGAGCGCACUGCUCCUGCAAUUACGGCGCGUGAAUUGCCCUGGGGGCUGAAGGGUGUGAAGUGUAUGGGUGGGAACCCAUCUAGAGCCACCCGGGGGACCCGCUCACGCUGCAGACCCCGGGGGCAUCCGGCUCUCAGCUCUCACCCACCAUGUCACCCACCAUGGCCUCUUCUCCUCCUUCCAGAAAUGCUUGGUGAGCAGCCACUGCGUAUCAGGCACUUUUCUAGGCCCUGCGGGCACGGGUCGUGCUGGAAUCUAGGCUCUGGAGGAGAGGGGCAGAGGUCUCCCCGCAGCUCCUCCCACGUGGCCACCACCUCCACCUGUGUCCGGAGCCCCAGACGCACUGGCACAGCGGAAGAUGCUGCAGUCCACCCAAACCGGCCUUUGGAAGGCCAAGUGACAGAAGGCCUUCAGCUUUGUUACAUCUUUUGUCUCCUGCACCCGGGGUGUGGCUGGGAUAACCCGGAGUGGUGAUCGGAUGACGGAAUCUGCAGGGGCGUGCAGUGACCACCAGGUGGCGCUUAGAGACACCAAAGGGGCAGUGAUCUCAAGGGUGGUGAUCUCAGGGGCCAAACAUUUCUUUGGGGCCACAAUACAUCACAGUGACAGGGCAAGCAGAGCAGUGCUUUGGAACAGCUCAUUCGUCCCCUACUUGCUCAGAAAAUUCUCAAGAGUGCUCUGAAGGCGGAGUUUCUUUCUGCCUCCUUAACUGGAUCCAGGGAGUGGCUGUUGCCUUGGAGACCUGAGGGCAGAGCCCUGGCUUCUUGUGGCAAGUGGGGCUGUGGGGGAAGAGGGGUUCCUGGCUGAAGGAUGACCACCCUAGGAAAACAGCUAAGGCUGAAAACAGCAAGGCUGGGCUCUCUCUCAGUCUACUGCACCAGAAAAGAAUGUCAGUGUCCUCAAGGUAAGCAUGCUGUCUGCCUCCGAGUCCCUGGCUGGGGGUGACCAGGACGCCUUUGACUCUAAAACGAGGGUCCAAGGUAAGAGGGAUUUUUGCCUUGAUUUGGAAGUUGGAUCUGGUUAUUCAAAACAAUUCUGAAUUCUGGGGUGUCAAGGUAGCUUUGGACUCUGGGUCUCAUUAAUGCCUGCUUCUUGCUCCGUGAGUAGUGGCCCUGGUAGGGAGAAGGACAGACAUCAGCCUUCUAGGUGGCCAGCUUGUCUGCUAAUCAUCUCGGUUGGCUUGGAGGGAUUGGCUUGUCAGAGGGGUGGCGGAUCUGAAAGGGCCUGGGCUGGGGGACGGGGCCGGGAGUACCAGCCACACUGAACAGCAGAUACAGACAGACGGACCACGCUUGAUUCAGCCUUGACCCCCGCCUCCCCACCACUGGUUCCUCAUUGUUUGACCUCGAUGUGUGACUCUCAGCAGUUACCUGCUAGUAGACACCCACCUUUCAGUCAGCUUCACAGCCACUGCCUCCACCCUCGCCUCUCAGGGUGUGGUCUUACAAGAACCUGUCCUGUGUGGUCCUGGCUCUGCCUCGACAUCAUGUCAGCACCUGGCUGCCCUGGCCUGGGACGAGGGACCACUGCUCUUCUUUCCACUAUUCCAUGCAGGGGUGUGGGAGGUAAGCCUUUCUCUUAAGGCCCCGCCAGGACCAGGCUGACAUAUUUAGCAGAUGGUUCUGGAGGCUUGGACAAGCAGAGGCAGUGAGACACAGAGUGUCCUGGUGGCCUCCUACCAGAUGUGGUGGCUCUUAGGGUCAUGGGUCCGUCCUCAGGAAGAAGAGUUCUAAUGCCACCACCUCUCCCCCCAAAAGAGAGCUCAACGUGCCCUCCCUAGACCCAGGCCUUCAAGUAGGAGAGAGAAUGGGACGGGAAUUUACCUUUGGGACAGACUUGCCUUUGUCCCCAGGCCCAGAGAGAAGAGGAAAUGCCUUUUCCCUGCAGCCCAGGGCUCAGAGGCUUUCGUUUCCUGUGCUGGGAUCUGCCUUUCCUAGGACAUUCGCCGCAGGGCUGUUCAUCCAGCCCCACCCGUCGGCCCUGUAGGAUGGGCUUGAAGAGCAGCCUCGAACCAGCAGCCACUGGAGGAAAAGGAAAUCCAGCCCCUCUGCCUCCCGUCAGCACCAGGUGACGCUCACCUCUGCACAGAGCAUCUGCACUCAGCUUCCUGGUGUGGACUUUUGCAGGACUCAAGGGGGUUUUCUCAGAAAAAGGCAAAUCUGCCUCGGGGCGGAUUUAGGUAUUGAUUCCUCCUCAUGGACAGUAACCGCCUGGAGCCUGGGAGCAAGGCUUUCCUGGAGUUUAGACAAUCUCCAGGCGCGGAGGUCCCAGCUAGGGCACCACAGGGUUUCUGUGUCCCUCUGUCCCCAUCUCCACUCCCGCUAUUUCAAAGCUCUCAGUUUCCCUCCAGCCUCCUACCCUGCCACCUGCCCCCAUUCUUGGCAGCUGCUCUAAUUUGGGGAGAAAACAGAACCAGCAGUCCCUGGCCCCCAGCUCCCAUCCACAUGCUGCAGGCAGGUAGGCUGGCUCUUGGCGUCUCCUCUUCUCCUGUCACCCUGGAGAAGGCGGGCUGCCCCACCCAAGCAGCUCACCCAAGUUCAGAUGGGCGGCUGUGGAAGUCAGCCUUUAAAAAGACUCUGGUCUUUUUUCUUUUCAGGGCCACACCUGCAGCAUAUGGAGGUUCCCA
This is a long non-coding RNA of Phacochoerus africanus (Common warthog), 3345 nucleotides long. RefSeq lists it as uncharacterized. The transcript has 3 exons. Lineage: Eukaryota; Metazoa; Chordata; Mammalia; Artiodactyla; Suidae. The record is from RefSeq and is a predicted model, not a curated record.